Molecule: non-coding RNA, 21 nt
Filed under: Caenorhabditis elegans
Lineage: Eukaryota; Metazoa; Nematoda; Chromadorea; Rhabditida; Rhabditidae
Source: RNAcentral
UUCGCUUCCUUUUCAUGAAAU